This is a non-coding RNA of Gossypium raimondii (Peruvian cotton), 125 nucleotides long. NCBI's taxonomy places the organism in Eukaryota, Viridiplantae, Streptophyta, Magnoliopsida, Malvales, Malvaceae. The record is from Rfam.
AAUAGGAGAAUAACAAAUCAGAUUUUUUUACCCUUCAUUUUCAGCUUUUUCCUCCUGAAAAAAUUUAAAUCCAUUUGAAAAUGCUAAAAAUGAGGAGGAAAAAUCUGAUUUGACAUUCUCCUAUU